CGUCCUAGAAUUCGUAACGACUGGCGGCGACUGCUUUACUACAUGCAAGUCGAACGGACAGCGCGGGGCGAACCUGGCGGCGGAGUGGCGGAACGGGUGAGGUAAUAUAUCGGAACGUACCCAAGAGUGGGGAGUAACGUAGCGAAGUUACGCUAAUACCGCAUACGAUCUAAGGAUGAAAGCAGGGGAGUCUUCGGACCUUGUGCUCCUGGAGCGGCCGAUAUCUGAUUAGCUAGUUGGUGAGGUAAAGGCUCACCAAGGCGACGAUCAGUAGCUGGUCUGAGAGGACGACCAGCCACACUGGAACUGAGACACGGUCCAGACUCCUACGGGAGGCAGCAGUGGGGAAUUUUGGACAAUGGGCGAAAGCCUGAUCCAGCAAUGCCGCGUGAGUGAAGAAGGCCUUCAGGUUGUAAAGCUCUUUUGUCAGGGAAGAAACGGUUGAGGCUAAUAUCUUCGACUAAUGACGGUACCUGAAGAAUAAGCACCGGCUAACUACGUG
This 502-nucleotide ribosomal RNA is filed under the name uncultured Oxalobacteraceae bacterium. RNAcentral's name for it is "bacterial SSU rRNA". It matches the Rfam family "Bacterial small subunit ribosomal RNA", at positions 36 to 507 of the family's 1533-position model. Lineage: Bacteria; Pseudomonadati; Pseudomonadota; Betaproteobacteria; Burkholderiales; Oxalobacteraceae. The record is from RNAcentral.